CGGACAAUUAAGCACAAUUCCCUGAUUAAUUCUAGCACAAUAAACUAAGUGAAAUCAAUAAAAUAUCGACUCAUCAAAAUAGACCACACUUAGUCUUUUACACUCCUGGGAAAAAUCAAGAUGCAAAUCAGGGAACAGUUCAACGGACAUCAGGGAAUUGACAUAGUGUUGACGGAUUGGCAAGCGUACCAAAUCGUUCAAGUAAUAUAAUUGGUAAAACCCAAUAUCGUUCUUCCCAAGAGACUUGAAAGGUUUCUCGUUCACAUGAAUUAAAAUAAUAAGACUUCAAAAUAAAAAUUAAUAAAUUGAUUUGAGAACAAAAAUAUUAACAUGCAAAAGAGAUUGAUUCAAUUGACAAAAGAAAAUAAUGGAUGAAUGAAGUUGUUGGGGGUUUACAAUUUCAUCUAAUCCGCUCUCUCUUAUCUACUCCUCUUGAAUUAUUAGUUUGAUUAAUUAAUUGUUAUGCGACUUUCUUAGCCUACCCUUAACCCGAUCCCUCGGCGAAAAGAGCCUAAUAUUAACUACUGGCUUGCUAUCCCUAGCCUCCCCUAGNAAUUAAUACCGCAUUAUAUACAGAAGUUAACGCAAUUAAUCGUCCUACCCUUAUCCCUAGGUGGUAUUGCAAAAUCAAGAAAUUACUCACCAGUUCAUGACAUAUGAAAAUAACUGUUUUUCAACCUUCAUCAACACCCCAAACUUAGAACUUUGCUUGUCCUCAAGCAAACAAAACAAAACAAAAC
This 740-nucleotide long non-coding RNA is filed under the name Vigna radiata. RNAcentral describes it as "long non-coding RNA (VRAD_LNC014270)". Lineage: Eukaryota; Viridiplantae; Streptophyta; Magnoliopsida; Fabales; Fabaceae. The record is from RNAcentral.